This 626-nucleotide ribosomal RNA is filed under the name Leucosporidium fragarium. Its description in RNAcentral is "eukaryotic LSU rRNA". The stretch from base 199 to 352 matches the Rfam family "5.8S ribosomal RNA". The record is from RNAcentral. Lineage: Eukaryota; Fungi; Basidiomycota; Microbotryomycetes; Leucosporidiales; Leucosporidiaceae.
UCCGUAGGUGAACCUGCGGAAGGAUCAUUAGUGAAUAUUAGCGCAUCUCUUCGGAGAGCGUGACCUCCACUUUCUAACUCUGUGCAUUUAUUUGGCGGGAAACUAUGUAGAUCAGUAGUAAUACUCGAACUACAUGUUUCCUGCGGCUCAUUUUAUAACACUAGUUAAAGUAUGUAACGAAAUAUCGAAACAAAAAAAAACUUUCAACAACGGAUCUCUUGGCUUGCUCAUCGAUGAAGAACGCAGCGAAAUGUGAUAAGUAAUGUGAAUUGCAGAAUUCAGUGAAUCAUCGAAUCUUUGAACGCACCUUGCGCUCCGUGGUAUUCCGCGGAGCAUGUCUGUUUGAGUGUCAUGAACUCUUCAACCCACCAGUUUCUUGUAGACUGAUUGGUGUUUGGAUUUUGAGCGUUGCUCGUCUUCGGAUGCAGCUCGUUCGUAAUACAUUAGCAUCUCUAAUUCGAACUCGGAUUGACUCAGUGUAAUAGACUAUUCGCUGAGGACACGCUCUCGUAGUGUGGCCGAAUGAGAUCUCAGUAGAAGCUUCCAACUACUUUAGUCAACUUUAGAUUAGACCUCAGAUCAGGCAGGAUUACCCGCUGAACUUAAGCAUAUCAAUAAGCGGAGGA